This 253-nucleotide ribosomal RNA is filed under the name uncultured bacterium. RNAcentral's name for it is "partial 16S ribosomal RNA". It matches the Rfam family "Bacterial small subunit ribosomal RNA", at positions 524 to 776 of the family's 1533-position model. The record is from RNAcentral.
UACGGAGGGUGCAAGCGUUAUCCGGAUUCACUGGGUUUAAAGGGUGUGUAGGCGGGUAUUUAAGUCAGUGGUGAAAUCUCCGGGCUCAACCUGGAAACUGCCAUUGAUACUAUUUAUCUUGAAUUCUGUUGAGGUAGGCGGAAUAUAUCAUGUAGCGGUGAAAUGCAUAGAUAUGAUAUAGAACACCGAUUGCGAAGGCAGCUUACUAAACAGAUAUUGACGCUGAGGCACGAAAGCGUGGGGAUCAAACAGG